Molecule: ribosomal RNA, 253 nt
Filed under: uncultured bacterium
Lineage: Bacteria
Description: partial 16S ribosomal RNA
Rfam family: Bacterial small subunit ribosomal RNA
Source: RNAcentral
UACGGAGGGUGCAAACGUUGCUCGGAAUCAUUGGGCGUAAAGCGCGCGUAGGCGGUCUCGUAAGUCGGAUGUGAAAGCCCUCGGCUCAACCGAGGAAGUGCACCCGAAACUGCGAGACUUGAGUGUCGGAGAGGGUGACGGAAUUCCCGGUGUAGAGGUGAAAUUCGUAGAUAUCGGGAGGAACAUCAGUGGCGAAGGCGGUCACCUGGACGAUAACUGACGCUGAGGCUCGAAAGCGUGGGGAGCAAACAGG